RNAcentral lists this ribosomal RNA (497 nucleotides) under uncultured bacterium. RNAcentral describes it as "partial 16S ribosomal RNA". It matches the Rfam family "Bacterial small subunit ribosomal RNA", at positions 28 to 507 of the family's 1533-position model. The record is from RNAcentral.
GAUGAACGCUGGCGGCGUGCCUAAUACAUGCAAGUCGAGCGAACAGACGAGGAGCUUGCUCCUCUGACGUUAGCGGCGGACGGGUGAGUAACACGUGGAUAACCUACCUAUAAGACUGGGAUAACUUCGGGAAACCGGAGCUAAUACCGGAUAAUAUAUUGAACCGCAUGGUUCAAUAGUGAAAGACGGUUUUGCUGUCACUUAUAGAUGGAUCCGCGCCGCAUUAGCUAGUUGGUAAGGUAACGGCUUACCAAGGCAACGAUGCGUAGCCGACCUGAGAGGGUGAUCGGCCACACUGGAACUGAGACACGGUCCAGACUCCUACGGGAGGCAGCAGUAGGGAAUCUUCCGCAAUGGGCGGAAGCCUGACGGAGCAACGCCGCGUGAGUGAUGAAGGUCUUCGGAUCGUAAAACUCUGUUAUUAGGGAAGAACAAAUGUGCAAGUAACUAUGCACGUCUUGACGGUACCUAAUCAGAAAGCCACGGCUAACUACGUG